GUCCACGCUGUAAACGAUGGGCACUAGGUGUCGCGGGUAUUGACCCCUGCGGUGCCGCAGCUAACGCAUUAAGUGCCCCGCCUGGGGACUACGGCCGCAAGGUUAAAACUCAAAGGAAUUGACGGGGCCCGCACAAGCGGUGGAGCAUGUGGUUCAAUUCGACGCAACGCGAAGAACCUUACCCGGGCUAGACAACAGAGGACAGCCCUAGAAAUAGGGUCUUCCCUUCGGGGACCUCUGGUUCAGGUGCUGCAUGGCUGUCGU
This 264-nucleotide ribosomal RNA is filed under the name uncultured bacterium. RNAcentral describes it as "partial 16S ribosomal RNA". It matches the Rfam family "Bacterial small subunit ribosomal RNA", at positions 793 to 1055 of the family's 1533-position model. The record is from RNAcentral.